CGCAGGGUACAGGGUGAUACUCCCGUACACUAAAACACACAGGCUGUGAACUCGAAGAGUAGGGCGGGACACGUGGUAUCCUGUCUGAAUAUGGGGGGACCAUCCUCCAAGGCUAAAUACUCCUGACUGACCGAUAGUGAACCAGUACCGUGAGGGAAAGGCGAAAAGAACCCCGGCGAGGGGAGUGAAAAAGAACCUGAAACCGUGUACGUACAAGCAGUAGGAGCCCCACCACCAAAGCGUUUCGCUUUGCGUGGUGCGCAAAAUGCGUAACGACAGCAUGAUGGACGGUUAACGGAGCGUCAGCGACGUUCAACCUCAAAAAUCAGGCAGUGGAGCGUUUUGGGGUGGGGUGACUGCGUACCUUUUGUAUAAUGGGUCAGCGACUUAUAUUCUGUAGCAAGGUUAACCGUAUAGGGGAGCCGCAGGGAAACCGAGUCUUAACUGGGCGUUAAGUUGCAGGGUAUAGACCCGAAACCCGGUGAUCUAGCCAUGGGCAGGUUGAAGGUUGGGUAACACUAACUGGAGGACCGAACCGACUAAUGUUGAAAAAUUAGCGGAUGACUUGUGGCUGGGGGUGAAAGGCCAAUCAAACCGGGAGAUAGCUGGUUCUCCCCGAAAGCUAUUUAGGUAGCGCCUCGUGAACUCAUCUUCGGGGGUAGAGCACUGUUUCGGCUAGGGGGUCAUCCCGACUUACCAACCCGAUGCAAACUACGAAUACCGAAGAAUGUUAUCACGGGAGACACACGGCGGGUGCUAACGUCCGUCGUGAAGAGGGAAACAACCCAGACCGCCAGCUAAGGUCCCAAAGUCAUGGUUAAGUGGGAAACGAUGUGGGAAGGCCCAGACAGCCAGGAUGUUGGCUUAGAAGCAGCCAUCAUUUAAAGAAAGCGUAAUAGCUCACUGGUCGAGUCGGCCUGCGCGGAAGAUGUAACGGGGCUAAACCAUGCACCGAAGCUGCGGCAGCGACACUAUGUGUUGUUGGGUAGGGGAGCGUUCUGUAAGCCGUUGAAGGUGGCCUGUGAGGGUUGCUGGAGGUAUCAGAAGUGCGAAUGCUGACAUAAGUAACGAUAAUGCGGGUGAAAAACCCGCACGCCGGAAGACCAAGGGUUCCUGUCCAACGUUAAUCGGGGCAGGGUGAGUCGACCCCUAAGGCGAGGCCGAAAGGCGUAGUCGAUGGGAAACAGGUUAAUAUUCCUGUACUUGGUGUUACUGCGAAGGGGGGACGGAGAAGGCUAUGUUGGCCGGGCGACGGUUGUCCCGGUUUAAGCAUGUAGGCGGAUG
This 1284-nucleotide ribosomal RNA is filed under the name Klebsiella oxytoca. Its description in RNAcentral is "partial 23S ribosomal RNA". It matches the Rfam family "Bacterial large subunit ribosomal RNA", at positions 351 to 1530 of the family's 2925-position model. Lineage: Bacteria; Pseudomonadati; Pseudomonadota; Gammaproteobacteria; Enterobacterales; Enterobacteriaceae. The record is from RNAcentral.